GUUGAACGCUGGCGGCAGGCCUAACACAUGCAAGUCGAACGCAGUGGCGGACGGGUGAAUAAGGCCUAGGAAUCUGCCUGACAGUGGGGGCUAAGGUCCGGAAACGGGCGCUAAUAGCGCAUACUAUCAUAUGAGCCUAGGUUGGAUUAGCUAGUUGGUGGGGUAAAGGCCUACCAGGGCGACGAUGCGUAACUGGUCUGAGAGGAUGAUCAGUCACACUGUAACUGAGACACGGGCCAGACUCCUACGUGAGGCAGCAGUGGGGAAUAUUGGACAAUGGGCGAAAGCCUGACCGAGCCAUGCCGCGUGUGUGAAGAAGGUCUUCGGAUUGUAAAGCACUUUAAGUUGGGAGGCGGUACCAACAGAAUAAGCACCGGCUAACUUCGUGCCAGCAGCCGCGGUAAUAC
RNAcentral lists this ribosomal RNA (407 nucleotides) under uncultured bacterium. RNAcentral describes it as "partial 16S ribosomal RNA". It matches the Rfam family "Bacterial small subunit ribosomal RNA", at positions 28 to 526 of the family's 1533-position model. The record is from RNAcentral.